Molecule: long non-coding RNA, 775 nt
Organism: Homo sapiens (human)
Lineage: Eukaryota; Metazoa; Chordata; Mammalia; Primates; Hominidae
Source: Ensembl
GGGAUAAAGAGAAGCAGACAUGGAGCCCUGCAAACUUGGCCUAAACAUUGCUCUCGGUGUUCUAGCAUCAUAAUGUGACUUUUCUUUUUAACCACAGUUUGUUGUUAAUUUAUAAAGUUACACUAACUUCCACCUCCGAUACAGAGCUUCUAAAAGAAUCAAAGUAUAAAAUAUAUGUGGUUGUAAAAAAGUGCCUUGUAAAUUCUAAAGCACUAGAGAGUAAGUCAUAUUCUCUCUCUCUCUUUUUUUUUUAUGACUGCUAGAGGUCUUCGUUGGUACCGAGUUGCUAUUGCUCUGAAAUCUUUCAAUGGAGUAUGUUAAAACAUACAUUAGAAUAUAGAAAUAUAAAAACAUACAUUAGAAUAUAGAAAUACAGAAACAGAUUCCUUUGCUCAAUUUGGUUCACAUAUGAGAUUUCUGUUCUUUCAUUAAAAGCUCAUUUCCUACACAAAAUUAACAUAAUUACUUAUAUUUUUAUCCUACAAUGAUAUUCUGAAUUGAUUUUGCAAAAUACUUAAGACCUGUCUUCUACCUUGGUGAAUACAUCUCCAGGAUGAGGCCACCCAUUUUGGCUUCCACUAACCCGGAGGAACCUGGAGCAAGGAAACCAAAGGAAGUAUUCAGGAAGCUUCAGAUUUGACUGCUGGCAUUAUAGGCAAGAAUUACACACACAUGACUUACUGUUCACUAUUGGUGAGAACUCGUGUUCUCAUUUCGGGCAAUGUUUAGAAUGAAGCUCCAUUAAACAUGCUUGCUCCGAGGAAUAUCCUUAGAA